RNAcentral lists this long non-coding RNA (3060 nucleotides) under Gossypium barbadense (sea-island cotton). RNAcentral describes it as "long non-coding RNA (GBAR_LNC011224)". The record is from RNAcentral. Lineage: Eukaryota; Viridiplantae; Streptophyta; Magnoliopsida; Malvales; Malvaceae.
AAAUUACGAGUUCAAUUAGAACACUCCAUAAAUACUUACUGUAAGACCCAAAUUUUGCCCGGGACCCAAUAAAACCAAACCCGAAUUAAACCUAGCCUAUUAUCCAGUUACAAGCCCAAACUCAAUUUUGGCCCAACCUAAUCCCAACCCAAACACAAAAAAUAAAUAAAUAAAUAAAUAAAUAAAAACCUUGGCCACCUACUCCACCACCUUUGUUGGCCACCCACCUUGGCCACCAACUCCACCACCCUUGGCCACCUAAACCACCCCAACCACUCCACUUGUAAAAUUUGGCUAUAAAAGCCAUUCAAGACUUUGUUUUUAGGUGGUGGGUUUUUGGUUUUUUGGAGAAGGAUUGUUCUUUGUUUCGGAGGAGGUUUUUUUUUGUUUUUUGGAGGUGUUUUUUUUUUUUGGAAAGAAGGUUAUUUUUGUUUCUUGGAAAGGCUAGUUUUUGGAGAUUAAUCAAAGAUCAAAGCAAAAGAGGUUUCUUUUGUCUAUUCUUAUCUUUAGUUCUUUGUUUGUUUAUUGUUUUCCUUUCAAUUUUAUUUUCUUCCUUUCAAUUUUAUUUUGUUUUUUUUAUACGAAAGUAAAAAUAAAAGUAAGAAGCUUACCCAUAUUUUCAUUAUCGAAAAAGGUUUUUUUGAGGUCCGGCCGCCGUGUACGGUGGCGCCGAUGGCGGCCCGUGGGGGUCCAUGGCCGAAGCAAAGCCAGACCAACGACCGGGUUUAGAAAAGAGGGAGAAAGAGAGUUGAGAGCUUUGUUUUAUUAUUUUAUUAUUUUUACUAUUAUUUAUAUUAUUAUUAUUAUUUCUCAUGUAUAUAUUAUUAUUUAUAUUAUUAUAUUAUAUAUGCCCUCUCCAUAUUUAUUUAUAUUAUUACUAUCAUUAUUGUUACUUUUAUUAUUUUUUAUUUCUAACUACUAUUAUUAUAUAUAUGUAUUAUUGUUUGUAUUAUUAUUAUUAUUAUCACCCCUAUUGUUAUUACUUUACUUUUGUAUUCUAAUAUAUUAUUAAUAUUACUCAUAUUUUUAUUAUUUUUGCUAUCACUAUUACUAUUAUAUAUUAGUGUAUAUUUUUAUGUAUAUAUAUAUUUAUAUAUAGUAUUGUUUUUUAUUACUUUAAUUUAAUAUUUUUAUUAUAUUUGCUUUUUGUAUUUCUAUAUUUAUUAUUAUAUAGUAGUGUGUAUUUCUAUUAUAUACAUAUAUAUAUAUUUAUAUAUAGUAUUAUUGUUUACUUUACUUUAAUAUUAUUCUUAUUAUCAUUAUAUCCAACCCAAUAAUAAUUCUUUCAUAAAAGUAAUAUUCCGUAUUUGGUAAUUCGAGACAACCGUGCCCUAACUUAUUGGGUUUCGAUUUUUCUCCUUUAACCUAAAUAACGGAAUACUCUUUUAAAUCGCGACAUGAGUUUUGAAAAAUGCUUAUUCUCGGAGAUACGAGGUGUUGUGCCCUAACUUACUGGGUAUGGCAUUUUGUUACCUCGAAAUAAGAUUUUUGUAAGUAAAGGCAAUAUUCGAUGUUUGGGAAUUCGAGGAAACGUGCCCUAGCUUACGGGGUUUCGAUUUUCCUCGUUCACCUUAACUAACUGAAUAACCUUUUGAAAUACACGAAUUUUUAUAUAAAAGGCAAGCUCGUUCUCGAAAAUUCAAGAUGUCGUGCCCUAACUUACUGGAUGUGACAUUUUAUAUUGUGAGACGAGAAGGUCCUUAACAUUUGAGCAUUUUCUUUACAAAGAAGGAUCGUAUUUUAAAUUCUUUCAAGUUUUCAAAUUUUCGACACUAAGACACUAAUUAAUCAACUAGGUACCAAUUUUGGGCGUAUCGAGGGUGCUAAUCCUUCCUCGUGCGUAACCGACUCCCGAACUCAUUUUCUGUUUUUCGUAGACCAAAAAUUAUCGUUUUAGUAAAUCUUAACUUUUAUUAAAAUGAUUAACUUAAGGUGAUCUGAUCACACCUAAAAAGAUUGGUGGCGACUCCUGUUUUAAUUUUUUUUCUCCAAGUCGAUACCCGUUUUUUUCAAAAAAAUGGUUACGACAGCUUGGCGACUCCACUGGAGACUUUUAUAAGAGAGUUAAGCCACAAGUUAAUUAACAUUUGUCUUUUUUCGAAAAUUGAGAAUUUGGUUUUGAUAUACGAUCACUUCAUUGCAUUUCACCCGCUUUUCGUACUGUUUUCAUCAUUUUAUUCCUAUUUUAUUUAAUUGUUUCAAGUUUUUAUGCAUAUAUCUUCUCGCAUUGCAUUGCAUGACCGUUGUGGUCACACCCUUAAGUGGGAGUGAGAAACUACGCCUUCGUAAGGUUUUCACCUCCGUGCAGGAUAGUGGAUCACUUUCGGAAUACAUCCGUACCUAUGGUUUCGUGAGAUUUUCAUCUCCGUGUAGCCAUAGGGAAAUGUAUUCUCCUGAAUUGAACUCGAUUCAAAUGAGCCUAUAAUGGGUGAGGAUCGAGGAAUGUGUUGGUUCAGGUACCCUUACUCUAGAACCAAACCACAUAUAGAGAGACCUAGGAGCCCACCCUAGGUAGAGCCACUCCAAACCCCUAGUGGUCAACCGAAUUGCUUUAUUUGUUAUUUAUUUAUCCUACACUAACGUGUUUUAUUUUUGUUUUGUUUAUAAUUGCAUUACAUUACAUCAUCCUAGGAAGGAGGUGUUGAUUCAUAUUUGAUUGCUAAAUAGAACAGUUUGUCAUAAGAAAACGAAUUUUUUGAUAAAGUGGAUUAUAAUACGGUUGUCUAAAUAUGAUCCAAGUGAACACAUGAAAGAAGACUGAUAGCUCGUGAAGAAAUACAAGACUUCGCUUCAUUGCCUGAAGACAGAAACUGACAGAUUAUUCGAGAGCCGUCACAUCUUGACCUUCUUAAAGGAGCUGACAAGUAUCACAGUAAUAAGUGAGCAACGAGUCGCAGCCUGGAUCGAGCAAAAAAGGAGUUAAUAUAGACAUCUCUUGGAGAAUUCGUCAGACUCGACCACAAGAUCCGGAUAUGAAGAGGAAGAUAGGUGUCUUCACUUGGAAUACAAGAGAAAAGCCGUAUAUGUAGUCCGUUUUAUGUAAAAGAAUUUGCUUUCUAG